Molecule: transfer RNA, 56 nt
Filed under: Ctenophorus isolepis
Lineage: Eukaryota; Metazoa; Chordata; Lepidosauria; Squamata; Agamidae
Description: tRNA-Cys
Source: RNAcentral
AGGCCUAAGGGCUACUAAACCCAAAAUCCAACUUGCAAUCAGACACAUUUUAGACC